Long non-coding RNA from Oreochromis niloticus (Nile tilapia), 2238 nucleotides. RefSeq lists it as uncharacterized. NCBI's taxonomy places the organism in Eukaryota, Metazoa, Chordata, Actinopteri, Cichliformes, Cichlidae. The transcript has 3 exons. The record is from RefSeq and is a predicted model, not a curated record.
AAGCAACCUGCACGCGCUGCGAGUUUGACAGGAGGGUUGCCAGACUGCGCGACACUAUCCCCCUUUCUAGACUGCGGUCCGUGCCUAUUCUACUCGCACCUGCAAGGCAAGUCAGUGAAACCUGAAAAUCAAUGAUGGAUGGAGCUCUUGGAAAGCAUGAUGACCAGGAGAACAGAUCACUGGCGAGUGUUUGUUCUUUGCCCCUACUAUCUUAGUGCAGUAAUGCUUCCUUUCACAGUGCUUACAGCAUGUCUUCCGGUGGCUCAUAACAUCCGAUCACAUAGGUGGAGGCAUUAACCAAAGAUUCAAGAAGGAUUUAGAAGAACGCAUGAGAAAGAAUCAAUGCAACACUAAACAUAUAUUUUUUUUAAAGAAAAUGUCUCAUUAGUUCAGUUAAUGUCAGGCUCAUUGCAGAUUAAAAUGAGCAGCUCAACAGGUCAAUUAACUAAAGUAAUGAAUGUAGUUUUAAAAAACAUCUCCAGGCAUUAGGUCUCCAAAGUCACAAAGUUCUUCAAGAUCUGCCUGAGAACUUACUUCUGCACAAAACUCUUAAGACAGUUAUGGACUCAUAUUCCAGUGUAAAUCCUAGACCUAAUGUCUGGGGCUUUAGUGUGCAGGCACACAUCCUAGUUAAUGUGCCUCUGUGCAUUCUGCUGCUGAGAUUCACUUUCGUAUUUUUGUGAGACAAACUAGAGCCCAGUGAAACGGCGGAUUAGACAAAAGCGUAGGGGGUGCUGGCAGCAGGUUGUUUAUUGCGUGCCUGUGAGUGAAUUCAAGAAGCAGCGGUGAUUACCAACAUAUGCAGCUGGGGAUCAACUGAACCAGGCCCACGGUGGCACUCGAGCUAAUUUCCAUACAUUAAUUCACUUAUGUACAUUUACUAAUUCCCAUCAGCAUGUAAUCAUAAAGUGCAUGAUGACACCAAGGAAAUGUUUCAGAGUGACUUGUGACGCAGUUGUGAGUAUGACGCUGAAAACAAAGGGUCUGACUAACAACAGAUGCAUAUAAUUAUACAACUGUUUGUACGGUUUUUUUAAUCUUCGGAACUCAAGGUUUAAGUCUCUGCCAAAGACUGAAAACAAUGCACAGGAAAGAGUAAAAUGAGAUUAUAGUGCAAGGUUGACCACUUUCCCUUGGUGUCAAACUUUAAACUACUAAAAUCAUUAAUUCAUACCAAAACUAUUGAUCGCCUGGGUAGUCUGAUAAAGAUUAUUGUCAUGCUUGUUUGACCUGCAUUGUUAUCCAAAACUACCAGAAACUAAAAAACGAGCUGAACUGUGAUGCUGACACGUUCAAUAGUAUAAGCUUAUUUUUUUCACAUGCUUAUACACUGUCCUACCAAUACCAAUACAAGAAACAAGGGGAACAUGGCCAACUUUUAAUAAAGUUAGAGCAGCCAGCUUUUUAGCUGAUUUUAUCAUCUCUAAUAGGUUUCUAUGGGAAGUUGGGAACUAUUAGAUAAACUAAAUGAAUAAAUUGGUGUUUUCACUGGACUUUUUUUUUGACUAACUAACAUAGCUAACAUGCAUACUUGGAUGCUACUGAAAAAUUGAGGCGGUAAGUUAAAGCAUAUAUAGUUUGCUGGAAAUUAAUAAAAAAAAUAUGCACAGAGUCACACAUUUGGCAUAUAAUUCACGGUGUAUGGUAUAUUUCUAUGUUCUGCCUUUUGUGAAAUAUCAAAUUGGCCCGUGGUCUAAAAGCAAGACUCAUCAAUGGAUUCUUUGGCAUGUUAUUAUGUCUCUGGUGCUCCCUUGUGCCUGCAUCACCAGGCCCUGCUCUGCUCUGCUUUAUCUGGCCCUUCACAGAGGUCUGCUCGAAAACCUGAAGGGCUUCUGGAAUCAAACCUCCGGGGAGACGAGAAUACAGAAACACUUUUUUUUUUCAUAAGACGGGUACAGAGAAAAAAGAAAAUCCUCAAACUGAAAUGAGGGAAUUCCACAAAUUACCGUUUGUCGCAAAGUAAUCCUGUUACUAUUGCAAAGAAUAUGAAACGGUGUAAACAUGGAAAUAAACUGCUAAUAUGGAUGUAGCUUACAAGCAGGGGCUCUGUUGAGUUGAGAUAUACAGCAGCAGACCCUGUUUCAGAUCACCAGUAAGGGAGAGUGCCACAAAAUUCAAAGUGGUUACAGAAAAUUUGCUUCUACAGGGAAGAGAUUUACAUUUUCAGAUGUUUUUUUUUCUUUAUUUUUUCUUUGAAUUAUUACAUUUCAGCUUCUUUUGGUCCAAACCUUUGCUAAC